UACGAAGGGUGCAAGCGUUACUCGGAAUUACUGGGCGUAAAGCGUGCGUAGGUGGUUUGUUAGGUCUGAUGUGAAAGCCCUGGGCUCAACCUGGGAAUUGCAUUGGAUACUGGCAGGCUAGAGUGCGGUAGAGGAUGGCGGAAUUCCCGGUGUAGCAGUGAAAUGCGUAGAGAUCGGGAGGAACAUCUGUGGCGAAGGCGGCCAUCUGGACCAGCACUGACACUGAGGCACGAAAGCGUGGGGAGCAAACAGG
Molecule: ribosomal RNA, 253 nt
Filed under: uncultured bacterium
Lineage: Bacteria
Description: partial 16S ribosomal RNA
Rfam family: Bacterial small subunit ribosomal RNA
Source: RNAcentral